Molecule: ribosomal RNA, 532 nt
Filed under: Lactiplantibacillus plantarum
Lineage: Bacteria; Bacillati; Bacillota; Bacilli; Lactobacillales; Lactobacillaceae
Description: bacterial SSU rRNA
Rfam family: Bacterial small subunit ribosomal RNA
Source: RNAcentral
AUGGUCCCGCGGCGUAUUAGCUAGAUGGUGAGGUAACGGCUUACCAUGGCAAUGAUACGUAGCCGACCUGAGAGGGUAAUCGGCCACAUUGGGACUGAGACACGGCCCAAACUCCUACGGGAGGCAGCAGUAGGGAAUCUUCCACAAUGGACGAAAGUCUGAUGGAGCAACGCCGCGUGAGUGAAGAAGGGUUUCGGCUCGUAAAACUCUGUUGUUAAAGAAGAACAUAUCUGAGAGUAACUGUUCAGGUAUUGACGGUAUUUAACCAGAAAGCCACGGCUAACUACGUGCCAGCAGCCGCGGUAAUACGUAGGUGGCAAGCGUUGUCCGGAUUUAUUGGGCGUAAAGCGAGCGCAGGCGGUUUUUAAAGUCUGAUGUGAAAGCCUUCGGCUCAACCGAAGAAGUGCAUCGGAAACUGGGAAACUUGAGUGCAGAAGAGGACAGUGGAACUCCAUGUGUAGCGGUGAAAUGCGUAGAUAUAUGGAAGAACACCAGUGGCGAAGGCGGCUGUCUGGUCUGUAACUGACGCUGA